This 562-nucleotide long non-coding RNA is filed under the name Ananas comosus (pineapple). RNAcentral's name for it is "long non-coding RNA (ACOM_LNC037935)". Lineage: Eukaryota; Viridiplantae; Streptophyta; Magnoliopsida; Poales; Bromeliaceae. The record is from RNAcentral.
GAAGAAGAAGCUUCAGCUUCUUUAUAAUACACCCGAAGACACUAUUCACUCCCGGGCAGCUUGAAAUCUGAUAACUUUCGCCGGAGCUCCCUGAGUGUCCGUUUGAGCUCAAACUUGACAGUCAUGUUCGGUUUUACGUACUGAGUAAGAAUAUAUUUUAAGUUUUCAGUUUCGACCCAUUUGGUCACCGAAAACUGUACCGAACUGUAAUCUUUAUCAGAUAGUUGUCGGAUUUUAUUUCUCACUCUACGGGUGUCAGAAAAAUAUGAAACUUUAAAUCUAGGCUCAUAAAAAUAUUUCUGACUUAUCCUCCGAUUUUCAUAAUUUUCUGAGAUUGUACAUUUUCUGCUAAUUUAUCUGUCCCGUUUCCAACAUAAAAUUCUAUAUCUUCUGUUUUCAUUCCGAUUUCAGCACAAGUCACUCCUGAUUUACGUUUUACUUCUAUGAAUCCAAUAAAAAUAGUUUCUCACACUAUUUUUAUUUAUUUUUAUUUUUAUACCAAAAUCUGGUAUGUUACAACAUAUCCUCACGCAACCUUACGGGCUCGUACUCCAAUACAUGU